GUCUGAAGAAAGUAAUCUACUGCAGCAGUUAGCAGAUGCUUGCUUAGUUGUUGAUGCCUUGGAGCCAUCUGUAAGGGAAGAGUUGCUUCAAAAUUUUUGCAGCAGGGAGCUUACUUCAUAUCAACAGAUCUUUGAAGGAGCUGAACUAGCAAAGUUGGAUAAAACUGAAAGGAGAUAUGGUUGGAUUAAGCGUCGGUUAAGAACAAAUGAAGAAAUCUGGAAAAUAUUUCCUCCUUCAUGGCAUGUUCGUUAUUUUCUGUGUAUCCAGUUCUGCAAGUUGACAAGAUUUCGUCUUAGUGCUGCAACUUAACGGAAUUGACCUAAAAAAAAUUCAGCUUGGGGGUCUGCUCAAAUUCAGCUUGAAGUAUAGAAGGAUUUACUUGAAUUAACAUAAAAAAUUUAACAUGAUUUGUCCUAAACCAAUAUAGUACACUUUGGAAAGAAGAAAAAAAAAAUUGCAAAUAGGGACCAUAUAAAAAAAUUAAUUUGAGUUGUACACACCAAACAUUAGAAUUGGUUACAUUGAAAUAUAAUUAAAUCUAACUGUAUAAAAA
Non-coding RNA from Camellia sinensis, 554 nucleotides. Lineage: Eukaryota; Viridiplantae; Streptophyta; Magnoliopsida; Ericales; Theaceae. The record is from RefSeq and is a predicted model, not a curated record.